Molecule: long non-coding RNA, 124 nt
Organism: Coregonus clupeaformis (lake whitefish)
Lineage: Eukaryota; Metazoa; Chordata; Actinopteri; Salmoniformes; Salmonidae
Exons: 3
Source: RefSeq, a predicted model, not a curated record
AGAGUCCUGGGGGAGCUCUCUCCACCUGUCUUGGCCUAUGUGGUAUGUUUUCUGAUGGGAUGUUCACUUAUGGGAUUGAGCCUCUUUUCGAUGGGACCAAUCAGACUGAGGGGGCCCACCUGGG